Nelumbo nucifera (sacred lotus) is the source of this 5785-nucleotide long non-coding RNA. RefSeq lists it as uncharacterized. NCBI's taxonomy places the organism in Eukaryota, Viridiplantae, Streptophyta, Magnoliopsida, Proteales, Nelumbonaceae. The record is from RefSeq and is a predicted model, not a curated record.
GGGUCUGUUUGUUGACUGAGAAAGAGAUGAGAAAAGGGAAUAUUCCUGAAUGAUUCUUCAUUUUCUGUGUUUUUUUGUUGGUAAAUAGUGUUUUGGGAUAAAAAACGAGAGGGAUGCAGGAUCCCAAAAUGAAGUGAGCAGGACCGCACCAAAACAGUGCGACCACAGUGGGAAAAGAAAAAGCUAAGAAAAUUUAGCGGGCUUUGUUAGAGCAAGAAGCAUAUCUCCGGCAGCUUCUCUGUCCAUCUCUCUGAAAGCCUUGAGGAGAGAUUUACGAAGAAUCCAAGUUUCUCACUCUCAUCGGGUAUAGGAUACAAAAGGAGCCAGUUUUCCUCCUAGGUGAAGAAGCUUCCACUUCCGCUCCAGCUUUGGACAACGCUUUCUGUCUGUAGUAAGAAAAUUUUGACAUUGAAGUUUUCCUCUUUUCAAUUUUCUUUUGCAAAACAAAAUUCAUAAAUCAUCUUUUGAAAACAUGAACUGCAUUUGUUUUGUCUUGAAUAAAGUGCUCAUGAUGGGGUUAUUCUAGUUCCAAAAAAAUGUGUUAUGUAUAAGACACCAGAUGACAUGCAACCUCAGCUUUUGCUUUCUCUGUGAAGCACUCCCCUUUCCGUUUCUCCCCUUCACUGUAUCACUUACCAUUAGCCACCUCUGCUCCUCUUGAUCUCUGAAAAAAUGGCCUCAGGUAUAGCCUCAUUUAUCAGAAAACACACAGAUAUAAGUUCAAGAAAGCUGUGGGAAAACAUGGGUUGAUACAAAAACAAAAACAAAAAUACUGGUUGUUACAGUUUGGAUUAUUUCUCCUCUCUUAUUUCAAUUGUUAUUUUCUUUUGUAAUGCAGUGUUAUACUGUGUGGUGUGAUACAGGGCCUUGUUCUUCCUUCAAUAGACAUUUUUUAUGUUUAUAUUUCUACAUAAUUUUAGUGCUUAUUAUGUUUUCUUGGAUCUUAACCUGUAAGCAUAAGUUUACCCAUCAAAACAACACACACACACAAAGAAGAUAAAGAUCUUAGUAAAGCUUUUAGAGCUUCAGAUUUUUAUGGGGGCUACAGAAAAAUUAGUUUCAGAAGAGCAGAUGAAGUGAUUCAGAAAGUAUAAAUGUCAAUGUUGAUAUGCCUGUCCCUCCUGAUCCAGUUAUCCUCAACCUGUGGUGGUGUUCUCCAAAAUUACACUGUUCCAAUGAUCUAUUGGGGUUACUCUCCCUGAAAAUGAAAGCAAAGUCUUGCUCUCUAAUCUGUCCUCCCCGUGGAAAGCUGGAAACUCCCUUCUUUCUCACACAAAAAUGUUAAAUAUAGCUCAUGAACAAAAAUACCAUACAUGAAUUCUGAAAUGAGACUCAUUCUUUAUCAUGCAUAUGAGUAUGCAUGCAUCAUUAUGAUGAUUUGGCUAUCAAAAAAGAAAAAAAAAAGUGUAAUGUGUGCUUUCAUGUAGCUUUGAUUAAUAACAGUGAAGGAAGUAAAGGAAAAGGACAAACAGGUCACUUACAUUUACAAGCUUAAUAAUAUUCGAGUCAAUGCCUUGAUAUCAUUAGUAAGCAUUUAGAUGGAUAUGGAAUUUGGGAGUUAAUGACUUCAAGAAGGGUGAGUUUUACUUGAGUUAUUAUAGCAGUUUUUUUUUCUAAUCCUAUUAGGCUCAGGCCAAGCAUGCAUCAACCAUCAAUAUGACUUCUAUUUUUAUUGACAUUAUCUGAUAUGUGAUUUGUGAGCUUAUUUUCUUAGUUGGAGGCUACCCAUGCAGCGCCUUACAUGUAUUAGACAGCAGAUGACAUUCUAAACAAUUUGUAGUUGAGUUUCUUUUAAACACUUGUACAAGUCUACAUGAGAUAAAUAUAUACUUGCAACCUGAAAUCAAUAUUCAUAUGCAAUAAAUCCAAGAUAAUAUUACCAUAGAAAAGCCAGUGUAUGACUUUUUGGAUGAAAUAGGUUAUUUAAUGCAAAUUCUUUGAUGUACCAACAGGUCAAAUAAUGGAGCAAUUUUAUUUCCUAGUAGUUUCUUUUAUGAAUGCAAGCACAUGUUUUUUAUGGAUAAAUACAUUGAAUAGACCUAUGAACAAAUUCUAUGAUGAAUGAGCAAGUCCAAAUAAUGAAGCAUUUCUUACUCUUAGUAAAAUUUUUUCUAUGAUGAAUGAGCAAGUCCAAAUAAUGAAGCAUUUCUUACUCUUAGUAAAAUUUUUGAAUGAGCAAGUUUAAUAAUACUAUCAUGCCACAUGGCAAGUUUAAUCGCACGUGUCAUACAUUUGAGUGAUGCAAGUUGUCAUAGAAGUAAAUUAUAUGCAUUUUUAUAAUUGAACAUGAUUUUUCUCAUAUAAAUUUUUUUGCAAAACAAACACUGGAAAGUGGAUUUUCUCACAAAAAAUUUAUCAGUAAACAAACGCAUUACAUCUAAAUGAGAAAAUAAUUUUUCCUCUUCUCAUCCCAACCUUUCUCAUCCCAUCCUUUCUCAGCCCAAUUUUCCCAGCAAUCAAACAGACCCUUAGUGUUAGUGAAAGAAUUUCUCUUUUCAAUGUAUUAGAGAAUUCUACCAGAAAAAAAAUGUAUUGGAGAAGAAAACUGUAUUAGAGGUCCAUGCCACCAUGUGGCUUAGAAUGGACGUUAAAGAAAUUUGUCGAUGACCCGAAUGUUGGGAUCAAUGGCCUUAUCUAAGAGGGGCCGAAUUGUGUUGAAUUCUAAAAAAGAAAUAUUUGAAUUCAAAUUUGAAUUCUUUGAUUAUGAAUCAAUGGAGUUCAAAACCCUUUUCACUGAAACUAAGCCCUCUUGAUAAUAAAAUCAAGAUGUAAUAGAAUAGAAGCUUAAUCAAUUUAGUUCAGUAGUUAAUCAGGUGGUUACUUUUUUAUUAACACAACUGUUGAACAAAAAAUCUACAGCUACCAAAACAAACAAGCAAUAUGAUCACAUGAGCGACAAGGGUUAGCAAUCAACAAAUACAAACAAUAAUAUAAUGGAGACUGCUAACAAGAUGAUAGCGGGUAAUGAUAAAUGAAAACAAUAUAAAUCUACAACCUACUAUUCAGUCAAGUGGUUCUAUAAUUAAUUUAGAGGACUUGUUAUAAUAUGAUGCAUGAGACGAGAACUAGCUAUCCAAGUAUAAUUAACUUAAGAUUUUGAUGGUGCUCAGAUCGCCUAUGCUCCUGUUAGAUGACAGCUCGGACAAAGAGAUGUUGAGGUCAGGAGACGAUCUGCAAGACAGAUGAAGUCAGAGUACCUGAGAGUUUGGACCCAAGCUGGGCACUACAAAGCUUAAGUUAGUAGAACUGAUGUUCACCCAAAACCAGGGCUAGGCACUACUUAGGAAUGGUAAGGUUCCCAUAAGGAACUUCAACCACCUGAUGUCCACCCAAAACCAGGUCAGAGUUUGGUCCACAGAGUUAAUAGUCAAGGACAUCCUUGAGCUCAUAGCUCGGUAUAGGAUUUACACUUCACCCCCAAGUAUCCUUAGGAACAUGAAAAGGGGGAAGUCUGUGUCUUCAAGGAGGCUUUGAAGGCUAGAUUCAAAUUUACUCUUCACCCCUUCAUUCCCGAGGUCUUAAACUAUUAUGAUAUCUCCUUUGCUCAGCUUCAUCUGAAAUCCAUCAGGACCAUGGUCGGCAACAUCUCCUUUUGUCAUGACGUCAAUUUCCCCUUGACCAUCUAAAACUUUGUUGGCCUCUGCUAGUUGAAGAGGAACCCCAACAAAAAAUAUAGUUAUUACCUGUCCUACCACUCCAACUAUAAGUUGUUAGGUGGUUUCCCUUCCAUGGUGUCGACCUUGAAGAGGAAAUACUUCUUCCUAGAAUGUGACAGCGGGUGGCCCUUCACCUCAGAGUGGAAGAUGGACCUUAGGGAUGUUGGUGAGGAAACCUUGAGUGAGCAUUUGCAGCUGAGGGUACAGGUCCUGGUCAACAGGUCGUGGUACUUUUCUUGUUAAUUUUGCACUUUGGUAAUUCAGCUCAGUUCAAUUUACUUGUGUAGGAGACAUGUCGGGAGUACCAACCUCGAGGCUCUUCCAGGCCAUGAAAAAAAAGAAGAGGAAGAUAGUCCCCAAUGAGACUCCUCAGGUUACAACCAAUGAGUAGGUCAAGCAAGUUGUUGCCGAGGUCAUUAACAUCAUCGAGGAUGAAUAGCAAGAGGCCGCCACUAUGGAAUCUAGCAGCGUCCGAGCUCCUAAGGAGAGUCACCCACCUCCUAAAGUCGAGGAAACCAACACUUUGGAGGCUAGCUCUAGGGCAUGGCACUCAAAUGAUCCUAGACCCAAUGACAACGCUGGAAAUGAGUAAGGCUGCUAUCAUCCCAGAGGAGGUGGAGACAUAGGCUACGUGGAGGCUUGCUUAGGUCGGUGACAGGAUACAUCACCACCUCAUUGUGGCGAACUCCUUAGCACACACAUUGAUGGGUUAGGUCAAGUAAGGUUACUAUAGCGCGAGGCCUUGACGAAGGACCUGGAGGAGUCCCGAGGUUGCUUGGAAUGGGCCUCCACACUUGUCUUUGAGCUGAAACACGACUUGGAAGAGGAGAAGGUGAAGGCGACCUUGCUAGUGAAGAAGGUUGUUAAGAAGGCCACUAAGCCAAAGCAAAAGGAGACUGAGCUCACAGAGCGAAGGUUGAAGUUCUCCAAGGAGAUCUGUGCCACGAAGGCCAAAGGCGUUGCUGAGUACCAUGCCUCUCAAGAAUUUCAUAAAGAGAUGGUGGACUUUGGUGCUAGUGCAUUCCGUCAAGUCUUCAAGCCGUGUCAUAUGCUUGUAGCAACUCUAAGCCUAGAGUUUGACCUGGAAAAGUUGAGGAGCUCGGCCUGCAGUGCCGAGAUGAUGGGCCAAGUUAACCAGAACCCGAUUCCAAGGAGGAAGAAGGAGAAGACAACGUAGACAAAGAAGCUGUUGACAUCGAGGAGAUACAGACCGGGGGUGAUGAUGUGCUUUGAAAUGAUGAAUGAUCAUUGUCUCUUUUCUUGAACCCCCGUACAUACAUCAUGUAUCCUGAGCCUUCGAGCUCAAUUUUCUACUUUGUUGUUUUUGUUCUUUCUUCUUCUUCCUUUUUUAUAAUAGUGAUGUACCUUCUCUUUUUUCACUAAGUUGUGAAAGUUUGCCUUCUACCCCAUGUGCCAAAGUGUUUUCCUUUCUUGCACCUUUACAUUUCCUAAGUUGGUAAAACAUUCUAUAAAUUUAGGGCCGACACCUUGAUCUAGAUUGGAAUAACAACCUCUAUCCCAAAUGUCAGGUUGAAUGGCGUUUCGCCAGUGGUCGUUAUACUCGUUGUACAAUAUGCCCAGAGAACUCUAUGGAGCUCAUCAACCUAUAGACCCUUGUCUCAGGAGAGUUAGGCCUCCAAGCUCGCAAGAUGGCCCUAUUUACUACCUUGGCUUGCCCAUUUUCCUAGAGGUGCACGACCGACAUGAAAUUCUGUUUAAUCCCCAUCUUGUCACACCAAUCCUAAAACCUGGUGUCUUCAAACUGCUUCUCAUUGUUCGAUAUCAGCACCUAAGGUAGUUUGUAUUGACAUAUGAUACUCUUGCAAAAGUUUUGUACAUUUCAAGCCAUGAUGGUCACUAGUGGCUCGACCUCCACCCACUUAGUGAAGUAUUCCAUUGCCAUGACCAAGUACCUCCUCUGCCUAGUUGCCGAGGGAAGGGUCCAAGAAUGCUUAUCCCCCACUAGGCAAAUGGCCAUGGGCUGGUGAGGUACUGCAUGUCGGUUGUGGGCUGUUGAGGUAUGUUGGUGUGCCUCUAGCACCUAUCACAGCGCUGCACGAACUAGACCACUUUGGUCUUCAUGGUUGGCCAAAAGUAGCCUUGUUGGAGGGCUUUAUGAACUAGCAUCC